Molecule: non-coding RNA, 72 nt
Organism: Heteronotia binoei (common prickly gecko)
Lineage: Eukaryota; Metazoa; Chordata; Lepidosauria; Squamata; Gekkonidae
Source: the annotation of a RefSeq genome assembly
GGGGAUGUGGCUCAGUGGUAGAGCCUCUGCUCUGCAAGCAAAAGGUCCCAGGUUCAAUUCCCGGCAUCUCCA